UACGUAGGGUGCGAGCGUUGUCCGGAAUUACUGGGCAUAAAGGGUGCGUAGGCGGCAUGCCAAGUCAGGGGUGAAAGGUUUCGGCCCAACCGGGACAGUGCCUUUGAUACUGGCGUGCUUGAGUGCGUGAGGGGUGACUGGAACGAGUGGUGUAGCGGUGAAAUGCGUAGAUAUCACUCGGAAGGCCAACGGCGAAGGCAGGUCACUGGUACGCAACUGACGCUGAGGCACGAAAGCGUGGGGAGCAAACAGG
This 253-nucleotide ribosomal RNA is filed under the name uncultured prokaryote. RNAcentral describes it as "partial 16S ribosomal RNA". It matches the Rfam family "Bacterial small subunit ribosomal RNA", at positions 524 to 776 of the family's 1533-position model. The record is from RNAcentral.